GGAUGCGAUCAUACCAGCACUAAAGCACCGGAUCC
This 35-nucleotide ribosomal RNA is filed under the name Triticum monococcum (einkorn wheat). Lineage: Eukaryota; Viridiplantae; Streptophyta; Magnoliopsida; Poales; Poaceae. RNAcentral also lists the same sequence under 4 other names. The record is from RNAcentral.